UACGUAGGCAGCGAGCGUUGUUCGGAAUUACUGGGCGUAAAGAGUGUGUAGGCGGUGCUCUAAGUUCGGUGUGAAAUCUCCUGGCUCAACUGGGAGGGUGCGCCGGAAACUGGAGUGCUUGAGCGUGGGAGAGGAAAGCGGAAUUCCAGGUGUAGCGGUGAAAUGCGUAGAUAUCUGGAGGAACACCGGUGGCGAAGGCGGCAUCCUGGACCAACACUGACGCUGAGGAGCGAAAGCCAGGGGAGCAAACGGG
Molecule: ribosomal RNA, 253 nt
Filed under: uncultured bacterium
Lineage: Bacteria
Description: partial 16S ribosomal RNA
Rfam family: Bacterial small subunit ribosomal RNA
Source: RNAcentral